GGUAUAGCUCAGUUGGUAGAGUAUGUGCCUCUCAACACAAGGCCCUGGGUUCAAUCCCCAGCACCA
This 66-nucleotide transfer RNA is filed under the name Marmota monax (woodchuck). RNAcentral's name for it is "tRNA.Undet". It matches the Rfam family "tRNA". From Rfam's summary of the family: Transfer RNA (tRNA) molecules are approximately 80 nucleotides in length. Their secondary structure includes four short double-helical elements and three loops (D, anti-codon, and T loops). Lineage: Eukaryota; Metazoa; Chordata; Mammalia; Rodentia; Sciuridae. The record is from RNAcentral.